GGCCGCCUGGCGAAAUGGCAUCGCGUCUGACUACGAUAUAUGAGCUUGUUCUUGCACAUGCGUAAUAUCAGGAGAUUGCAGGUUCGACCCCUGCGGUGGUCA
This is a non-coding RNA of Gymnopus androsaceus JB14, 102 nucleotides long. NCBI's taxonomy places the organism in Eukaryota, Fungi, Basidiomycota, Agaricomycetes, Agaricales, Omphalotaceae. The record is from the annotation of a GenBank genome assembly.